GACGAACGCUGGCGGCGUGCCUAAUACAUGCAAGUAGAACGCUGAAGGAGGAGCUUGCUUCUCUGGAUGAGUUGCGAACGGGUGAGUAACGCGUAGGUAACCUGCCUGGUAGCGGGGGAUAACUAUUGGAAACGAUAGCUAAUACCGCAUAAGAGUAGAUGUUGCAUGACAUUUGCUUAAAAGGUGCAAUUGCAUCACUACCAGAUGGACCUGCGUUGUAUUAGCUAGUUGGUGGGGUAACGGCUUACCAAGGCGACGAUACAUAGCUGACCUGAGAGGGUGAUCGGCCACACUGGGACUGAGACACGGCCCAGACUCCUACGGGAGGCAGCAGUAGGGAAUCUUCGGCAAUGGACGGAAGUCUGACCGAGCAACGCCGCGUGAGUGAAGAAGGUUUUCGGAUCGUAAAGCUCUGUUGUAAGAGAAGAACGAGUGUGAGAGUGGAAAGUUCACACUGUGACGGUAUCUUACCAGAAAGGGACGGCUAACUACGUG
This 495-nucleotide ribosomal RNA is filed under the name uncultured bacterium. Its description in RNAcentral is "partial 16S ribosomal RNA". It matches the Rfam family "Bacterial small subunit ribosomal RNA", at positions 28 to 507 of the family's 1533-position model. The record is from RNAcentral.